Molecule: long non-coding RNA, 1331 nt
Organism: Magnolia sinica
Lineage: Eukaryota; Viridiplantae; Streptophyta; Magnoliopsida; Magnoliales; Magnoliaceae
Exons: 6
Source: RefSeq, a predicted model, not a curated record
GUGAUUGUGCGCAUUAUUCAUUUAUAUUUGAUAUGAAGGUUAUCCAUGGAAAAACCCUGAAUGUCAUUUGUGUAGUCCACACUCAUGUAUUUUUCAUUAGAUGAAUCAAAUAGAACUGUAGCUUGGUCAGAUUGCCUAGCUACUCCUACUGUGUAAGAUGUCUAACAUUGGCUCAAAAUUCCUUGAGGUAUCAAGAUUUAUUUCAAGGCUUCAUGUGCCUAAAGAAGCUACAUUCAUAUAUUAACACUUUCAGCCCUUGCCAAUUUCAGUGAAUCAUUGGAGUGAACAUUCAUAAAAAUCUCUGCUUUUCUAACAUUUGUUCUCUUUUGAAGAAUCAUGAGUGCAACAUGUCACUCUUUUUUUUCUUGAAUUUUGUUGCUUUAAGGUGUUUUGUAAUAUUUGUUUUCUUCAAUCCUUACAAAAUUGACGUUCUCUUAUGGCUGUCUGCAUGGUUGUCCAUGUUUUUGUAUUCAAUCCACUCUAUCUUGUGUCUCGUUGCAGAGAUUGCUGAUUUUUUUAUCUAGUUGCAUGCUUACAGGGGCCUAGUUGGUUAUAGAAGUGUGUUUAGCAGUGAUACACAUGGCACUGGAUUUAUGCAUCGCACUUUCUUGAGUGGUGGCAUCUGGAGUAGAUGAACGUACCCUCAAGCGUGAAGGUGUUUGUGCUGCAUCAUUACCAACUACCAUGCUGUUGUUAGUUGGAGGGAGUCGGAAUGAAGAAUCAGAAUUUCUUCAUUUUUUUGGAUGCUUCUAUUGAUUAGUCGGAGGUCUUCAACAAGGUUGCUUCUUCUGUUUGCAUUUUGCUAACCAAAGAUGAGCUUGUAAUCACCAUGCAUGGAUGCACUGCUGCUAUAUGUGAUAAAGUGAUGCAGUCAGCAGAAGGUGCAAUUCAGGCUGUCAUUGAGUUCAUUACAAGAAGAGGCAAUGAGUUGAAUGAAACUGAUGUUUCAAGGUAGGACUUGAGGGGAGUGCUAAUGGACAAUGGUGGUUGGAUGCUAUCAGGAAGGCCCUCGAAUAAGGAACGACAUUUGAACAUGUAGGAUCUAGGCAGUUGGCUGGUUUGCUUAUAUCCGCAGGGUAAGUAAUUAUUCAUUGAUUGGGACAUCAGAACAUGAUAAUUUCCUUUUCAGCAUCUACAUUUGACGAACGCCUCAUAUAGAAUCUUCGACCAUUUAUUGGGGAUGUUGAUGCUGCUGCAUAACCAUAGCCUCAUGCACAAACAAGACAGGUAACUUAUGCAUGUUGGCCCAGCUGCAUGGGGCUAAUGAUGAUGCUCUUUGUCAAACUUUAAAAACUUUAAAAUUCACAUAAAACUGAUAUAAACUCAUUUCC